Molecule: ribosomal RNA, 483 nt
Filed under: uncultured bacterium
Lineage: Bacteria
Description: partial 16S ribosomal RNA
Rfam family: Bacterial small subunit ribosomal RNA
Source: RNAcentral
GACGAACGCUGGCGGCGUGCUUAACACAUGCAAGUCGAACGCUGAAGCUCAGCUUUUGUUGGGUGGAUGAGUGGCGAACGGGUGAGUAACACGUGAGUAACCUGCCCCCUUCUUUGGGAUAACGCCCGGAAACGGGUGCUAAUACUGGAUAUUCACUGGUCUUCGCAUGGGGGCUGGUGGAAAGGGUUUUUCUGGUGGGGGAUGGGCUCGCGGCCUAUCAGCUUGUUGGUGGGGUGAUGGCCUACCAAGGCUUUGACGGGUAGCCGGCCUGAGAGGGUGACCGGUCACAUUGGGACUGAGAUACGGCCCAGACUCCUACGGGAGGCAGCAGUGGGGAAUAUUGCACAAUGGGCGCAAGCCUGAUGCAGCGACGCCGCGUGAGGGAUGGAGGCCUUCGGGUUGUGAACCUCUUUCGCUCAUGGUCAAGCCGCAACAAUGGUUGUGGUGAGGGUAGUGGGUAAAGAAGCGCCGGCUAACUACGUG